ACUUGGAAACAGGUGCUAAUACCGUAUAACAAUCGAAACCGCAUGGUUUUGAUUUGAAAGGCGCUUUCGGGUGUCGCUGAUGGAUGGACCCGCGGUGCAUUAGCUAGUUGGUGAGGUAACGGCUCACCAAGGCCACGAUGCAUAGCCGACCUGAGAGGGUGAUCGGCCACAUUGGGACUGAGACACGGCCCAAACUCCUACGGGAGGCAGCAGUAGGGAAUCUUCGGCAAUGGACGAAAGUCUGACCGAGCAACGCCGCGUGAGUGAAGAAGGUUUUCGGAUCGUAAAACUCUGUUGUUAGAGAAGAACAAGGAUGAGAGUAACUGUUCAUCCCUUGACGGUAUCUAACCAGAAAGCCACGGCUAACUACGUGCCAGCAGCCGCGGUAAUACGUAGGUGGCAAGCGUUGUCCGGAUUUAUUGGGCGUAAAGCGAGCGCAGGCGGUUUCUUAAGUCUGAUGUGAAAGCCCCCGGCUCAACCGGGGAGGGUCAUUGGAAACUGGGAGACUUGAGUGCAGAAGAGGAGAGUGGAAUUCCAUGUGUAGCGGUGAAAUGCGUAGAUAUAUGGAGGAACACCAGUGGCGAAGGCGGCUCUCUGGUCUGUAACUGACGCUGAGGCUCGAAAGCGUGGGGAGCAAACAGGAUUAGAUACCCUGGUAGUCCACGCCGUAAACGAUGAGUGCUAAGUGUUGGAGGGUUUCCGCCCUUCAGUGCUGCAGCUAACGCAUUAAGCACUCCGCCUGGGGAGUACGACCGCAAGGUUGAAACUCAAAGGAAUUGACGGGGGCCCGCACAAGCGGUGGAGCAUGUGGUUUAAUUCGAAGCAACGCGAAGAACCUUACCAGGUCUUGACAUCCUUUGACCACUCUAGAGAUAGAGCUUCCCCUUCGGGGGCAAAGUGACAGGUGGUGCAUGGUUGUCGUCAGCUCGUGUCGUGAGAUGUUGGGUUAAGUCCCGCAACGAGCGCAACCCUUAUUGUUAGUUGCCAUCAUUCAGUUGGGCACUCUAGCAAGACUGCCGGUGACAAACCGGAGGAAGGUGGGGAUGACGUCAAAUC
Molecule: ribosomal RNA, 1056 nt
Filed under: Enterococcus faecium
Lineage: Bacteria; Bacillati; Bacillota; Bacilli; Lactobacillales; Enterococcaceae
Description: bacterial SSU rRNA
Rfam family: Bacterial small subunit ribosomal RNA
Source: RNAcentral